CCCUUAGAUGCUCUGGGCCGCACGCGCGCUACACUGGUCGAUGCAACGAGUUUCUUUCCUUGGCCGACAGGCCUGGGCAAUCUUUGAACAUCGAUCGUGAUCGGGAUAGAUUCUUGUAAUUUUUGAUCUUAAACGAGGAAUUCCUAGUAAACGCAAGUCAUCAGCUUGCAUUGAUUACGUCCCUGCCCUUUGUACACACCGCCCGUCGCACCUACCGAUUGAAUGGUCCGGUGAAAUCUCCGGACUGGCGUGAGUCGGAGCAAGCUGACAAACACCGGAAAGUUGAUUAAACCUUACCAUUUAGAGGAAGGUGAAGUCGUAACA
RNAcentral lists this ribosomal RNA (324 nucleotides) under uncultured eukaryote. RNAcentral describes it as "partial 18S ribosomal RNA". It matches the Rfam family "Eukaryotic small subunit ribosomal RNA", at positions 1470 to 1796 of the family's 1831-position model. The record is from RNAcentral.